RNAcentral lists this ribosomal RNA (544 nucleotides) under uncultured Actinomyces sp. RNAcentral describes it as "bacterial SSU rRNA". It matches the Rfam family "Bacterial small subunit ribosomal RNA", at positions 26 to 507 of the family's 1533-position model. Lineage: Bacteria; Bacillati; Actinomycetota; Actinomycetes; Actinomycetales; Actinomycetaceae. The record is from RNAcentral.
CGGUUAGUCCUGGCUACGAGGACGAACGGCUGGCGGCGUUGCUUAACACAUGCAAGUCGAACGGGCGUUCUGGGGUUCUGGCGUUUUUGGUUGGGGUUCUGGGGGUUAGUGGCGAACGGGUGAGUAACACGUGAGUAACCUGCCCUUCACUUCUGGAUAACCGCUUGAAAGGGUGGCGUAAUACGGGGAUGUUUCUGGGGUCUGUCGCAUGGCGGGUUCGGGAAAGAUGGCACUGUUUGGUGUUUUUUGGUGGGGGAUGGGCUCGCGGCCUAUCAGCUUGUUGGUGGGGUGAUGGCCUGCCAAGGCUUUGACGGGUAGCCGGCCUGAGAGGGUGGGCGGUCACACUGGGACUGAGAUACGGCCCAGACUCCUACGGGAGGCAGCAGUGGGGAAUAUUGCACAAUGGGCGGAAGCCUGAUGCAGCGACGUCGCGUGAGGGAUGGAGGCCUUCGGGUUGUGAACCUCUUUCGCCAGUGAGGAAGGCCUUGCCCGUGUGGUGGGGUUGACGGUAGCUGGGUUAAUUGAAGCGCCGGCUAACUACGUG